CGUGAAAUUGUUGAAAGGGAAACGCUUGAAGUCAGUCGUAUCUGCCAGGACUCAGCCUUGCUUCUGCUUGGUGCACUUUCUGGUCGGAUGGGCCAACAUCGAUUUUGACCGUUGGAAAAAGGCUUGGGGAAUGGGGCACUUUCGGGUGUGUUAUAGCCCUCUGUCGUAUGAAACGGGUGGGAUUGAGGACUGCAGCACGCCUUUAUGGCCGGGGGUCGCGCACGUAGGUGGUUAGGAUGUUGGCAUAA
RNAcentral lists this ribosomal RNA (248 nucleotides) under Thelephoraceae sp. RNAcentral's name for it is "partial large subunit ribosomal RNA". Lineage: Eukaryota; Fungi; Basidiomycota; Agaricomycetes; Thelephorales; Thelephoraceae. The record is from RNAcentral.